This 208-nucleotide long non-coding RNA is filed under the name Elaeis guineensis (African oil palm). RNAcentral describes it as "long non-coding RNA (EGUI_LNC045171)". Lineage: Eukaryota; Viridiplantae; Streptophyta; Magnoliopsida; Arecales; Arecaceae. The record is from RNAcentral.
GAUCUGACUUGAAUGGUCCUAGUCGGGUCGCCACUGUUGAGGGGCACAAAGACGAGUUGCUCUGCGGGUUCUUUAUGGCUUUUUUCUUCUCUUUGAUCUAGUCUAUCAUCGAUGAGGAGAGUUUCGGCUGGCCUUGUUCCUUCAAGAAUGGUUAAGUAGUAUUGUCAGACUAGCCAUUGAUCUCUUCGCAUCUCACCAAUUUCUUUUC